GCCCCUGAUCUGCGCUAGUCUUCGCAUGGAUUUUUCUAUAGAGGCCAGACAUCUUUGUGUGGCUGCGAGUGACCUAAGGAACACCCUCUCCACUCAUUGGAUUAUAGAAGAUUAAGAUCAAAAUUUAUUUGCUAACGAUCUCUAUCUUAUUUUGAUUCCUAUGAUAUAUCUAAUAGUUAGAUCUAGAAUUUUAGCAUUGAUGAAAUCGAUGUGAUUUUUAUUUUCAGAUCUAAAGUAUAUAUUUUUCAUAUCAAAGAUCUUGAUAUGGUAAUCUA
Molecule: long non-coding RNA, 275 nt
Filed under: Elaeis guineensis (African oil palm)
Lineage: Eukaryota; Viridiplantae; Streptophyta; Magnoliopsida; Arecales; Arecaceae
Description: long non-coding RNA (EGUI_LNC062887)
Source: RNAcentral